GGUUGAUCCUGCCAGUAGUCAUAUGCUUGUCUCAAAGAUUAAGCCAUGCAUGUCUCAGCAUAAGCUUUUGGAUGGUAAGACUGCGAAUGGCUCAUUAAAACAGUUAUAGUUUACUUGGUGGUCGAUGCUUACAUGGAUACCUGUGGUAAUUCUAGAGCUAAUACAUGCAUACAAACCUGACUUUUGGAAGGGUUGUGUUUAUCAGAUUCAAAACCACCCUGGGCUUGCCUAGCAUGUUGGUGACUCAUGAUAACUGAAUGAAUUGUAUAGCAUCUGCUGGUGAUAGACUAUU
Molecule: ribosomal RNA, 292 nt
Filed under: uncultured eukaryote
Lineage: Eukaryota
Description: partial 18S ribosomal RNA
Rfam family: Eukaryotic small subunit ribosomal RNA
Source: RNAcentral